This 370-nucleotide ribosomal RNA is filed under the name uncultured organism. RNAcentral describes it as "bacterial SSU rRNA". It matches the Rfam family "Bacterial small subunit ribosomal RNA", at positions 526 to 897 of the family's 1533-position model. The record is from RNAcentral.
CGUAGGGUGCAAGCGUUAAUCGGAAUUACUGGGCGUAAAGCGUGCGCAGGCGGUUUUGUAAGUCUGUCGUGAAAUCCCCGGGCUCAACCUGGGAAUUGCGAUGGAGACUGCAAGGCUAGAAUCUGGCAGAGGGGGUAGAAUUCCACGUGUAGCAGUGAAAUGCGUAGAGAUGCGGAGGAACACCGAUGGCGAAGGCAGCCCCCUGGGUCAAGAUUGACGCUCAUGCACGAAAGCGUGGGGAGCAAACAGGAUUAGAUACCCUGGUAGUCCACGCCCUAAACGAUGUCUACUAGUUGUCGGGUUUUAAUUAACUUGGUAACGCAGCUAACGCGUGAAGUAGACCGCCUGGGGAGUACGGUCGCAAGAUUAA